GAUGAAGAACGUAGUGAAAUGCGAUAAUUAAUGUGAAUUGCAGAAUUCAGUGAAUCAUCGAGUCUUUGAACGCACAUUGCGCCCCCUGGUAUUCCGGGGGGCAUGCCUGUCCGAGCGUCAUUGCUGCCCUCAAGCACGGCUUGUGUGUUGGGCUUCCGUCCCUGGCAACGGGGACGGGCCCAAAAGGCAGUGGCGGCACCAUGUCUGGUCCUCGAGCGUAUGGGGCUUUGUCACCCGCUCCCGUAGGUCCAGCUGGCAGCUAGCCUCGCAACCAAUCUUUUUAACCAGGUUGACCUCGGAUCAGGUAGGGAUACCCGCUGAACUUAAGCAUAUCUAAGCGGAGGA
Molecule: unclassified non-coding RNA, 345 nt
Filed under: soil metagenome
Description: partial contains 5.8S ribosomal RNA, internal transcribed spacer 2, and large subunit ribosomal RNA
Rfam family: 5.8S ribosomal RNA (bases 1-120)
Source: RNAcentral